GCCAGUGUAUUGUAGUGGCUUGCACACUGGAUUGUGACUCUGGAGUCCAGGGUUUGAAUCCCUGCUCAGCCA
Phrynosoma platyrhinos (Desert horned lizard) is the source of this 72-nucleotide non-coding RNA. NCBI's taxonomy places the organism in Eukaryota, Metazoa, Chordata, Lepidosauria, Squamata, Phrynosomatidae. The record is from the annotation of a GenBank genome assembly.